RNAcentral lists this transfer RNA (53 nucleotides) under Flavobacterium succinicans. It matches the Rfam family "tRNA", at positions 20 to 71 of the family's 71-position model. From Rfam's summary of the family: Transfer RNA (tRNA) molecules are approximately 80 nucleotides in length. Their secondary structure includes four short double-helical elements and three loops (D, anti-codon, and T loops). Lineage: Bacteria; Pseudomonadati; Bacteroidota; Flavobacteriia; Flavobacteriales; Flavobacteriaceae. The record is from Rfam by way of RNAcentral.
AGAGCAGCUGAUUUGUAAUCAGCAGGUCGUGGGUUCGAGUCCCUCCGCCGGCU